Molecule: ribosomal RNA, 407 nt
Filed under: uncultured bacterium
Lineage: Bacteria
Description: partial 16S ribosomal RNA
Rfam family: Bacterial small subunit ribosomal RNA
Source: RNAcentral
AUUGAACGCUGGCGGCAGGCCUAACACAUGCAAGUCGAGCGGAGCGGCGGACGGGUGAGUAAUGCCUAGGAAUCUGCCUGGUAGUGGUGGAUAACGUCCGGAAACGGGCGCUAAUACCGCAUACUAUCAGAUGAGCCUAGACCGGAUUAGAUAGGUGGUGGGGUAAAGGCCUACCAAGGCGACGAUCAGUAACUGGUCUGAGAGGAUGAUCAGUCACACUGGAACUGAGACACGGUCCAGACUCCUACGGGAGGCAGCAGUGGGGAAUAUUGGACAAUGGGCGAAAGCCUGAUCCAGCCAUGCCGCGUGUGUGAAGAAGGUCUUCGGAUUGUAAAGCACUGUAAGUUGGGAGGCGUUACCAACAGAAUAAGCACCGGCUAACUCCGUGCCAGCAGCCGCGGUAAUUC